This 468-nucleotide ribosomal RNA is filed under the name uncultured bacterium. RNAcentral describes it as "partial 16S ribosomal RNA". It matches the Rfam family "Bacterial small subunit ribosomal RNA", at positions 28 to 507 of the family's 1533-position model. The record is from RNAcentral.
GACGAACGCUGGCGGCGUGCUUAACACAUGCAAGUCGAACGGAAAGGCCCUGCUUUUGUGGGGUGCUCGAGUGGCGAACGGGUGAGUAACACGUGAGUAACCUGCCCUUGACUUUGGGAUAACUUCAGGAAACUGGGGCUAAUACCGGAUAGGAGCUCCUGCUGCAUGGUGGGGGUUGGAAAGUUUCGGCGGUUGGGGAUGGACUCGCGGCUUAUCAGCUUGUUGGUGGGGUAGUGGCUUACCAAGGCUUUGACGGGUAGCCGGCCUGAGAGGGUGACCGGCCACAUUGGGACUGAGAUACGGCCCAGACUGCUACGGGAGGCAGCAGUGGGGAAUAUUGCACAAUGGGCGGAAGCGUGAUACAGCAACGCCGGGUGCGGGAUGACGGCCUUCGGGUUGUAAACCGCUGUCGCCUGUGACGAAGCGUGAGUGACGGUAAUGGGUAAAGAAGCACCGGCUAACUACGUG